Molecule: RNA transcript, 1321 nt
Organism: Tripterygium wilfordii
Lineage: Eukaryota; Viridiplantae; Streptophyta; Magnoliopsida; Celastrales; Celastraceae
Gene name: protein GAMETE CELL DEFECTIVE 1, mitochondrial
Exons: 4
Source: RefSeq, a predicted model, not a curated record
CCCGGAUAGGUGACUCACCAUUGAACGAGUUCUCUCUUCAGAAACCAUAGCGACUCGACUCCCAUUCAAGCUUCAACAGAACCCGAGCAUGAGAACCCUUCAUCGCGUAUUCUCGUCCGCCACAAAAUUAACAGGGACUGAGGUAUCUUGUAGACUCAACUCGGCAAUCUACAAUUCCUUGUUCCAUUCGCCUACUCUUUCAAAACCCAUCUCGACGAAGGCCCCCAAAAGCGGCGUCGAUGAGUGGAACGAUGCGUGGGAGACAGCUUGGCUCCCGGAGGACCUCAAGCCUAGUGUUCGAGCCCCGUGGGAGACUGACGUGAACUUUCCAUCUGGAGAAUCCGCUGCUGCGCUCUCAUCUGAGGUCGACGCCGAUACCAAGGCGUUUGUUGAGGACAUGAACGAGAAUUGGGAUACCAGGCGAACUAUGACGAAGAACAAACAACAGCCCGAGAAGGAAAAGAAGGGUAUUGAUAAUGGGACGCUGUAUAGCUUGGACAAUAUUAAGAUGGAUUAUAGAUUAAAGAAGCAGAGGAUUCAUGCGGGGUUGUGGGUGAAGGAGAUUGAGAGGAUGGAGGAGGCAAAAUUUGAGAGUGGGGGAGAUGAUAUUGAGAGAUUGCUCGACAGUUGCUCCGAGAUCUUUGACACAUCCAAUGAUGAUAUGGACAAGGCAAAAGUCCCAAGCACUUCUGAGUUCAAAAACAAACCUGACGGAUGGGAAACAACAUCGAAGACACAAGACGGAAAUGUAUGGGAUAUGUCACAAAGAGAGGAAGACAUUCUGCUCCAAGAAUUUGAUCGCCGAAUUGCAUAUUCCAAAUUUCAGGUUCAUCAUGGUUUUACGGUUUAAUAGCAAUCAGAUAGUUAAUUUUGAGCAGGAAGUAGGAAGAACCAUAGAAGUUGUUUUGUUUGAUGAUAGACCACAGCAAAUACCACACAAAAAUAACGCAGCAAGUAACAGUGAGAAAGGGUGAUAGCAACCAGAGAUCUCUAGUUGUAUUUGAUUGAAAGGAAAUAAAGAGAGCUGUCAAGGAAUACAGGGAUAAAACCUAAGUUUCGAGGAGUUAGGACCUCCAAAAGACAACAUGUCUCCACUUAAUUCCAGACUACUCACUACCACUACUGCUGCCAGACUAUAUACUCAGAGUUUGUUACAAAACAGAAUAUGCCAAUAAAGGAUUACAGAUUGCAAGUUUUAUAAAGACUCAUAUAUUUAGCCGGAGGAGACCAAUUGAUGGUUGGAAGUAUAUGAUAGAGGAAAUAGGGCCCAAUGCCAGAAAAGGAAAGGGUGGUGUUUCAAGGUUACCAGCUCUAUCUGAUC